RNAcentral lists this ribosomal RNA (301 nucleotides) under uncultured bacterium. RNAcentral's name for it is "partial 16S ribosomal RNA". It matches the Rfam family "Bacterial small subunit ribosomal RNA", at positions 509 to 808 of the family's 1533-position model. The record is from RNAcentral.
CACCGCCACGGUAAUACGAAGGGUGCAAGCGUUACUCGGAAUUACUGGGCGUAAAGCGUGUGUAGGUGGUUGUUUAAGUCUGUCGUGAAAGCCCUGGGCUCAACCUGGGAAUUGCGAUGGAUACUGGGCGACUAGAGUGCGGUAGAGGAUAGUGGAAUUUCCGGUGUAGCAGUGAAAUGCGUAGAGAUCGGGAGGAACAUCAGUGGCGAAGGCGGCCAUCUGGGACAACACUGACGCUGAGGCACGAAAGCGUGGGGAGCAAACAGGAUUAGAGACCCCCGUAGUCCCUGUCUCUUAUACC